RNAcentral lists this transfer RNA (85 nucleotides) under Felis catus (domestic cat). It matches the Rfam family "tRNA". From Rfam's summary of the family: Transfer RNA (tRNA) molecules are approximately 80 nucleotides in length. Their secondary structure includes four short double-helical elements and three loops (D, anti-codon, and T loops). The record is from Rfam by way of RNAcentral. Lineage: Eukaryota; Metazoa; Chordata; Mammalia; Carnivora; Felidae.
GCCUGAGUGGCUCAGUUGGUUGAGCAUCUGGCUUCGGCUCAGGUCAUGAUCUCACGGUUCAUGGGUUCAAGCCCUGAGUCAGGCU